AAAACCUACUGUAUCAUGUUGAUUAACCAAGCAUGUACAUAUAACAUUCUUAUACACGCUUCAGACAUGGGUCACGUGGCCCCCAUAGCGACUUAUUAAGGUUGUCAACAUGUGAAUAUAAAUAUUGUUCCUUAACAAAUUUGUCGUUCAAUUUGAACUUUGUAUCACAAAGGUGGACAUCUUUCGAAAUAUGACUAAAGAAAAAUGGAUUACCUUAAUAUUAGCUUGUGGCACAGGUUUCAUAAUUUUGAUCAUCGUGCAUCUACCACGUACAUAUUUAAUGAACGACAGAAAAUUUCCCGAGCCACAAAAGCCGGUUCUCAAAUUAAAAUAUGACGUACUAUUAAACAGUUACAUGCGUGCCGGAAGUUCUUUAACUGGCGCUAUUUUAGGGCAUAGAGCAGAUUCGUUUUAUCUUUACGAGCCCCUUUGGAGAAUUGCAAUGUGGACAUAUUGGCAUGGUAACAACAUGACAUGUAGAUCUGAUCUUCUACAGUGCAGGUAUUUGACAGGUCUUUGACUCGAACUAUCUUUUGAACACAUUUUGAAUGUUUCAGUGUUCUAAUAGUCAAAUAAAUUUGUACCAAAGUACGCCCAAAAGGGAACGCAUCAGAUUUUGUACAGAUAUUAAUUUUGAAAAAGAAAAAAAAAAACAUUUCGGGAUUGGAACCAUUUAACAUAUGUAACCAUUAAAUGGACUUUUGGAAAUUUUCUCAUAUAUUUGAGUAUUUAUUUUACGAAAUGAUACGUUAUAGAAGUGGUGAUAAAUGACAAGUCAGGCUACAAAACACGUAUCAUAUCAACUAACAACUAACUAUGAGCUAUAUCUCAAAUGUUUCGUGUGUAGAUUGUGAGCAGUACAAAGUAUUUAAGUUGAAAUGUCUAAAUUUGUUAAAGUAUGCAUAGAGAAUUUGAUGUCCUAACACAUUAAUGUUAAUGCAAGGAAAUACGAAAUUAUUUACAUAUCCUUAAGCUUAUUCAACUCUUUAUUGCUAGCAGCAACGUAUGGAGGUUAUUCGUUGCCUAAAAUCUAACCUUUGAAACUUGACAAUUCAUUCUUCGGUUCUUCUGAACAUAUUAAUAAAAUUGAAUUGUCGAUCUGAGAGUUACAUACUGUACUGGUAUUAAGCGUAUUGAUUUUCUCGAUUUGAAACAACGGAACAUGUAACAUGCAACUAAUAUUUAUUUCAAACUGUAUUUAGAAAUGUAUGACAAACUGUAUUUAGAAAUGUAUAACUUAAAAUUGACGACAUGUAGAUAAUCAUGUAAACAAUAUAAUGUACACAGCAUGUUUUAUGCCGUACAUCAUGACGUUAGGAAUGUUAAUGCACUUUCCGUGAUAAACAUUUGUAAACUAUUUUGCAACUUCCAUUUAUGGCAUUAUCAUGGAAAUAGAAGGACAUAAUAGGCGGAGCCAAUUUUGACUCGAACAAAAUAUAAAAAGAGUCAACACUUACUGUACAAUAAUAAUAAGUAAAUAAAACUGUUAUAUAUUCCGCAUACAUUAGUACAUGAGCUGCAUUACCGUAGACUUUGAAUAUCCUCUGAUUUUGUAAAACCAAAGUUGUAUGUACAACUAUCCCUUAUCUUUUAUUUUAAACCAUGCCUUAUAGAUAACUAUAUCUUCUCAUUUUAUACCAUAUUUCUUUCAAUAAAUGGGUCAAAAGAUGAGUAUGUUGAUUUUCAAUGUAUGUAUACCAUAUUUAUUUUAUUUCUCAGAAGCCAUCACCUGCAGGAAAUAAAAACUUGUGUAGUAUUUCUUGUAUUAAUAGUUCUCUGCUGUUGAUCAGAAGUACAGCAAACGGCAUACAUAUUGACAUCAUGUAUAUACAGAUUUAGGAGCUGUCAUUGAUUUAGUUAAAUGCAAAAUGGGGUUCGCUGAAGACCUUAAGCUACACAUCACCUUACAUAUAUAUUAACGUAAGUUUUUUUAGUGGAUACACCACGGAAAAAGCAAUAGCAAUCUUACGUACACUUGGUAGAAAUGGGUUUUUCUACAACCCAGUAUAGUCCUUAACAUGCUUACUGGUCCGUCCUAUUAAUUUAUGUUGCCAAAAGUGAAAUCCAUGUAUCACAUUCUAGUACUGACAGAUGAAUGUGAAAAAAGAGUAUGAAUACGUCUGUAUUCAAGAAGUCUAUCCUUUUGUAUAACUUCAUUAUCCUGAGUACGAAAACGUUCUAACUAUUGUUAAAAGCGUUUUUUUUGUAAAGUCAUCCGCUAGUAUUAGGAUUACUGAUGUUAUAGUAAAUGCUACUACUAGGAAAUACAGCUCAGCCAGAAUUUGGUUCGUAUUAGGAUCUGAUCGUAGCACAAUCUCAGCUGUUGAUUUUAAUAUCUGAAAGUGGUGAGGUAACUGCCUAACUGUCAGUGUUACUCAUACCAAUUUCAGUAAAAUUGAUUUGUCUUUAAAAAGAGCAUGUUGAAUAUAAUCUGUACAAUGAUUUUACUUUCGUUCAUUUGUUUCCCAAAACAACUCCAUUAUAAGUUGGACUGAGACAAUUACCUGGUGAGUUUUGAGUUUUCUGAUAUUCUUUCUCUAGGAAAUAGGGUAUCUACAACGUUUUAAAGCUUAUAGGCCUAUAAUCAUUUAAAGUUUGCUGAUGUUGAGUGAAUAAAGAAGGCCAGAAUGGCAAUCAUGCAAGCGAGUUAUGUUUGGUGAAACACAUUCAUGAUUUACAAACACCUAAAUGACUCCACAGAAUUUACCUUGAAAUCUGUGGGUAACGAAUAUGCAUGUUCUUGUUUCCGUGUGAACUCAGACCGCAGAAGGAGAAGCACGAUUAAUACCGAAAAUGAGCGGAUAAAUACGUUAAUUAACGAUGGUGUAAUGGCUUAGGAAAAGGGUGGAGCUUGUUCAUAUCUUAUAUCAAAACGUGAACAGAUCCGAAUCAUAAUGGUUUGACAUUGUUAAGCUAAAGCAAAAAAGUAACUCAUGUUUUGUCGGAGUAUGAACGAACGUUGAGUUUGUAGCAUGUUUUGAACACUUGGUAUUCUCUCGGAAAACAAGUUAGAGUCUGGCUAUGAAAUGUUAUACAAGUAUCAUGUUUAACUUUGUAUACCCAUCUCUUUUUAGUUUCCCUUCUGCUGUAUGGUACAUACAAAUACACUUA
Ruditapes philippinarum (Manila clam) is the source of this 3111-nucleotide long non-coding RNA. RefSeq lists it as uncharacterized. Lineage: Eukaryota; Metazoa; Mollusca; Bivalvia; Venerida; Veneridae. The transcript has 4 exons. The record is from RefSeq and is a predicted model, not a curated record.